GACAGAGGAUGCAAGCGUUGUCCGGAAUGAUUGGGCGUAAAGCGUCUGUAGGUGGCUUUUUAAGUCCGCCGUCAAAUCCCAGGGCUCAACCCUGGACAGGCGGUGGAAACUACCAAGCUGGAGUACGGUAGGGGCAGAGGGAAUUUCCGGUGGAGUGGUGAAAUGCGUAGAGAUCCGGAGGAACACCAAAGGCGAAGGCAGUGUCCUGGGGAGUACCUGACGCUCAGGUGCGAAAGCCAGGGGAGCGAACGGG
Molecule: ribosomal RNA, 253 nt
Filed under: uncultured bacterium
Lineage: Bacteria
Description: partial 16S ribosomal RNA
Rfam family: Bacterial small subunit ribosomal RNA
Source: RNAcentral